Molecule: long non-coding RNA, 578 nt
Organism: Sebastes umbrosus (honeycomb rockfish)
Lineage: Eukaryota; Metazoa; Chordata; Actinopteri; Perciformes; Sebastidae
Exons: 3
Source: RefSeq, a predicted model, not a curated record
CCUGACUCAAGUGUCUGAUCUCUGCCUGUCCAAGAUGGCUGCUGCUCUGCACAGGGUUUCCUCCGCUCUCUACAAUGGGCUGCUGGGCUGCUGGGCUGCUGGGCUGCUGGGACAAAGAGCAGCAUCAUAUGCGGAGAUUUGUCGGUUGGAGGUGGAACCCCUCAGAACGUCCAUCUUUUGCUGAAACACACCAAGCCUUUGAGACCAUGUUCAGCAUCUCUGACGCUUUGUGCUUAAGGGUGACUCACCCUCAGUAGUCCACCCCAUCCCAAGCUGUCUGCCUGCCAGCUCCAGCUUGUGAUCUCAAAGCCGUGUCUCUACCACUCAGCACCCUAUAAGUGGUGUGGUGGAAGCUACAGCGCACAGAGAGAGGGACUCGAGAGGGACUAAAUCAACAUGCAGCUAGAUUAUGCUGUUUGCUUUUCCGUCUCAACUGAUGCCUAAAAAUCAUCAUGAUCAUUUGCCAAGAUAGGUUUGGUCCCUGCAUGUGCUGCUAAAUGAGGAGCUGGCACACAUUGGAUCCUCAUGCAGUGGGGAAUUUAAAGCACAUCUUUAUAGAAAUAAAAAGGCUUCUUUCA